Pygocentrus nattereri (red-bellied piranha) is the source of this 148-nucleotide small nuclear RNA. Its record names the gene U1. It matches the Rfam family "U1 spliceosomal RNA". From Rfam's summary of the family: U1 is a small nuclear RNA (snRNA) component of the spliceosome (involved in pre-mRNA splicing). Its 5' end forms complementary base pairs with the 5' splice junction, thus defining the 5' donor site of an intron. There are significant differences in sequence and secondary structure between metazoan and yeast U1 snRNAs, the latter being much longer (568 nucleotides as compared to 164 nucleotides in human). NCBI's taxonomy places the organism in Eukaryota, Metazoa, Chordata, Actinopteri, Characiformes, Serrasalmidae. The record is from Ensembl.
UUACUUACCUGGCAGGAGUGAUACCAUGAUCCAGGGUGAGGCUCUGCCAUUGCACUUCGGUGCUGCUGAUCCUUGUGAAUUCCCCAAAUGCGGGAAUUUCAACUGUAUAAUUUCUGGUAGUGGGGGGCUGCAUUCAUGCUCUCCCCUG